Molecule: long non-coding RNA, 999 nt
Filed under: Vitis vinifera (wine grape)
Lineage: Eukaryota; Viridiplantae; Streptophyta; Magnoliopsida; Vitales; Vitaceae
Description: long non-coding RNA (VVIN_LNC007975)
Source: RNAcentral
ACUGCUUUCUUUGGCCUUUCUUGGUUCUUGUUGGAGUCGUUUUCUCUUUUUGGUCAGAUCUUUUGUAUUUCCAAGGGAUAUCUUAUCCUUCAUUGUAACUUCUAUUUAUUUCAAUGAAAUGAUGUGCCUUCUUUUUUUAUUAAGAAAACUUACUAGUAUGGGCAGGAUCUAUCUAUUGGUAAUAGAGGCAUGAUGAAAGAGUUGGGAUAUAUGCUUGUUCAAGGACCCUUAGAUGGUGAUCUCAUAGGUUGCCUUUGGGAUUAGGGAACCUUGAUUCAUCUCCUGAGGGAAAUUUUAGAUUUGUCUGGAAGUCUUUAGGUGGCUUAUAGAUAGGCUUUUAGUUCUUCAACCAAACAUGGACUUUGAGCUACAAGAAGGGUGCAAUGUUUGGAUGUUCUUGCUGGAGACUGCUAGUCCUUUUGAGUUGACUUCUUGCUGCCUUUUUUACUUUUGUUGUUUUUCUUGCUUUUUUAUCUUAGCUUCUUUGUUGCCUUGAAGGGCCCCUCAUCCUUUAUUGCUCUUCCUUUUCCUUUUUAAUGCAAAUUGUGUUUCUAAUAAACAAAACUGUUGUGGUUUUAAACUUUUACCAACAGUCCUGGUGGUGGCUCCAUUACUUUUACGGAUCCAUUCCAGAAAUUGGAUUGGUGCCCUGAAAUGCAAUGGAAGGCUGACAGAGUAAUUUUUAACACACCAUAUUUGCAAGAGCAGAACAGUAGGACCUAUGAGGGGAUGGAGCAUUUGGUGUUUGGUGCAAGCCUUGAAUGAUAUUUUUAUUGGUUCCUUGUUUAUGUGGUCCAGAGGUUGCUUGGAAGCUGAUUGUUCCUCUCUAUUUUGCUUUUAUUGAUCGUAAAGGAUCCUGCUAACUUUUAUGUUUUCUUUUUAGCCUUUUGGCACCCUUUGUAUACUCCUGGUGUACUAGGGCUGUGCUCCUCAUUUUAAUUGAUGAAUGUCAAUGCAUCCUCGUUGAAAAAAAAAAAAAAACAAAUGUACAUAUCAAAG